CCCUUUGGGUGUGACUGCGUACCUUUUGUAUAAUGGGUCAGCGACUUAUAUUCUGUAGCAAGGUUAACCGAAUAGGGGAGCCGGAGGGAAACCGAGUCUUAACCGGGCGUUAAGUUGCAGGGUAUAGACCCGAAACCCGGUGAUCUAGCCAUGGGCAGGUUGAAGGUUGGGUAACACUAACUGGAGGACCGAACCGACUAAUGUUGAAAAAUUAGCGGAUGACCUGUGGCUGGGGGUGAAAGGCCAAUCAAACCGGGAGAUAGCUGGUUCUCCCCGAAAGCUAUUUAGGUAGCGCCUCGUGAAUUCAUCUCCGGGGGUAGAGCACUGUUUCGGCUAGGGGGCCAUCCCGGCUUACCAACCCGAUGCAAACUGCGAAUACCGGAGAAUGUUAUCACGGGAGACACACGGCGGGUGCUAACGUCCGUCGUGAAGAGGGAAACAACCCAGACCGCCAGCUAAGGUCCCAAAGUCAUGGUUAAGUGGGAAACGAUGUGGGAAGGCCCAGACAGCCAGGAUGUUGGCUUAGAAGCAGCCAUCAUUUAAAGAAAGCGUAAUAGCUCACUGGUCGAGUCGGCCUGCGCGGAAGAUGUAACGGGGCUAAACCAUGCACCGAAGCUGCGGCAGCGACACUGUGUGUUGUUGGGUAGGGGAGCGUUCUGUAAGCCUGUGAAGGUGUGUCGUGAGGCAUGCUGGAGGUAUCAGAAGUGCGAAUGCUGACAUAAGUAACGAUAAAGCGGGUGAAAAGCCCGCUCGCCGGAAGACCAAGGGUUCCUGUCCAACGUUAAUCGGGGCAGGGUGAGUCGACCCCUAAGGCGAGGCCGAAAGGCGUAGUCGAUGGGAAACGGGUUAAUAUUCCCGUACUUGGUGUUACUGCGAAGGGGGGACGGAGAAGGCUAUGUUGGCCGGGCGACGGUUGUCCCGGUUUAAGCGUGUAGGUGUGUGUUCCAGGUAAAUCCGGUUCACUUUAACACUGAGGCGUGACGACGAGGCACUACGGUGCUGAAGCAACAAAUGCCCUGCUUCCAGGAAAAGCCUCUAAGCAUCAGGUAACAUCAAAUCGUACCCCAAACCGACACAGGUGGUCAGGUAGAGAAUACCAAGGCGCUUGAGAGAACUCGGGUGAAGGAACUAGGCAAAAUGGUGCCGUAACUUCGGGAGAAGGCACGCUGACACGUAGGUGAAGUGAUUUACUCAUGGAGCUGAA
RNAcentral lists this ribosomal RNA (1204 nucleotides) under Salmonella enterica. RNAcentral describes it as "partial 23S ribosomal RNA". It matches the Rfam family "Bacterial large subunit ribosomal RNA", at positions 582 to 1781 of the family's 2925-position model. The record is from RNAcentral. Lineage: Bacteria; Pseudomonadati; Pseudomonadota; Gammaproteobacteria; Enterobacterales; Enterobacteriaceae.